GGGCCCGCACAAGCGGUGGAGCAUGUGGUUUAAUUCGAUGAUACGCGAGGAACCUUACCAGGGCUUAAAUGGGAAAUGACAGGGGGCAGAGACGCCCCUUCUUCGGACAUUUUUUCAAGGUGCUGCAUGGUUGUCGUCAGCUCGUGCCGUGAGGUGUCAGGUUAAGUCCUAUAACGAGCGCAACCCCUACCGUUAGUUGCCAGCGUGUAAUGACGGGGACUCUAACGGAACUGCCGGUGCAAACCGUGAGGAAGGUGGGGACGACGUCAAAUCAUCACGGCCCUUACGUCCUGGGCCACACACGUGCUACAAUGGUAGGUACAGAGGGAAGCCACCCCGGCGAGGGGGAGCGGAUCUAUAAAACCUAUCUCAGUUCGGAUCGGAGUCUGCAACUCGACUCCGUG
This 404-nucleotide ribosomal RNA is filed under the name uncultured bacterium. RNAcentral's name for it is "bacterial SSU rRNA". It matches the Rfam family "Bacterial small subunit ribosomal RNA", at positions 917 to 1322 of the family's 1533-position model. The record is from RNAcentral.